UAAAAGCUUUCAUGGUGUAGC
Molecule: non-coding RNA, 21 nt
Filed under: Arabidopsis thaliana (thale cress)
Lineage: Eukaryota; Viridiplantae; Streptophyta; Magnoliopsida; Brassicales; Brassicaceae
Source: RNAcentral